RNAcentral lists this unclassified non-coding RNA (331 nucleotides) under soil metagenome. Its description in RNAcentral is "partial contains 5.8S ribosomal RNA, internal transcribed spacer 2, and large subunit ribosomal RNA". The stretch from base 1 to 120 matches the Rfam family "5.8S ribosomal RNA", at positions 35 to 154 of the family's 154-position model. The record is from RNAcentral.
GAUGAAGAACGUAGCGAAAUGCGAUAAGUAAUGAGAAUUGCAGAAUUCAGUGGAUCAUCGAAUCUUUGAACGCACAUUGCGCCCCUUGGUAUUCCGAGGGGCAUGCCUGUUCGAGCGUCAUUUCAACCCUCAAGCUCUGCUUGGUCUUGGGCCUGGCCGUGAUGGCCGGUCUUAAAAUCAGUGGCGGUGCCGUCGCAGGCUCCAAGCGUAGUACAUCUCUCGCUCUGGAAACUUGGCGGUGCCUGCCAGACAACCCCUAAUUGUCUCUUUCGGUUGACCUCGGAUCAGGUAGGGAUACCCGCUGAACUUAAGCAUAUCAAUAAGCGGAGGA